UUCUUAACACCGACAAACCGACGUGUCAGCUUGUGGGAUUUGGGGAUAAAUUUCUGGCAAAUAAUUCAAACUGAAAUACGUUAAAACACUAGCUCCAUCUAUCCGAUGAUUUACACACUGUUCCGCAUGCAUCUGUGUGCGUGCAUAGAGAAAAACAAGGUUAACGAAAAAUACUAAAUCACGAGUAAAAAUCUAAAAAAAUGUUUUGCCUGACUGAUGGCUUAAAUUCAAUGCCAAAAUUAAUUAGCACAAAUUAUUUUGUUAUUUUUUCAUUUCUUUUGUCGUCUAUCAUUAUGAUUUCUAUUGCCUCGUACUGAAUUUGAAUGUUUUUAUAAAAAUAAUUUGGAAUUGUUUUUGAGAGUUUAUUUUAAAGCACAGUUUGCUAAAUUACGUUUUUCGUGUAUAUAGUGUUUACAUUCAGUUGUCAAAUCAGGCGAUCUGCAGCCACCGCUGCCUAGCUUUUCCAACCAAACAGACCGGCUAUUGGAAUAUGGUUUCGGGACGUUUUAUUUUAUUUACGGCCUUGUGAUUCCAGAAUCCCCGAGAAAACAUCCGGCAGGAAAUCAAAUUUGACGAGAGGCACUUGUGGAACGAACAGCAGCAUUUGUCGAUCGUCACGGUUUGCGGAAAUCCGAUCAAGGAGUUGUUCCGAAUGUGAGACGGAGAAAUAGCCAGCGUCCAACCGUAAUUCGAUUGUUCCAUAACGCCAGCCCUCAUAAUCAACACCAGAACACCAACCGUGGGUGGAACAGUGAUAUUGGAUGCGAAGUGAUGUGGAGUAGAGAAAAAAUGAAAUCUAAUGGAAGAAUUGGAAAUCUAGUAGUGACGUGUGUCUUGCAGCUACGAAUACAGGCCCUGUUGAAGCUGUGUUGGGACCAGUGCUGGAGUGAGGAGGUAGUUUGCAGAUGAAGAUUAAAUUCGCGAAUUUUUGAAUAAUAAAAUAGUGAGAAUGUAGUACAAUCAA
Long non-coding RNA from Aedes albopictus (Asian tiger mosquito), 964 nucleotides. RefSeq lists it as uncharacterized. The transcript is spliced from 2 exons. Lineage: Eukaryota; Metazoa; Arthropoda; Insecta; Diptera; Culicidae. The record is from RefSeq and is a predicted model, not a curated record.